RNAcentral lists this ribosomal RNA (303 nucleotides) under uncultured bacterium. RNAcentral's name for it is "partial 16S ribosomal RNA". It matches the Rfam family "Bacterial small subunit ribosomal RNA", at positions 507 to 808 of the family's 1533-position model. The record is from RNAcentral.
AGCAGUACCACGGGAAUACGAAGGGUGCAAGCGUUAAUCGGAAUUACUGGGCGUAAAGCGUGCGUAGGCGGUGAGUUAAGUCUGCUGUGAAAUCCCCGGGCUCAACCUGGGAAUGGCAGUGGAUACUGGCUCGCUAGAGUGUGUCAGAGGAUGGUGGAAUUCCCGGUGUAGCGGUGAAAUGCGUAGAGAUCGGGAGGAACAUCAGUGGCGAAGGCGGCCAUCUGGGACAACACUGACGCUGAAGCACGAAAGCGUGGGGAGCAAACAGGAUUAGAUACCCCCGUAGUCCCUGUCUCUUAUACA